UACGAAGGGGGCUAGCGUUGUUCGGAAUUACUGGGCGUAAAGCGCACGUAGGCGGACAUUUUAAGUCAGGGGUGAAAUCCCGGGGCUCAACCCCGGAACUGCCUUUGAUACUGGGUGUCUUGAGUGUGGUAGAGGUGAGUGGAAUUGCGAGUGUAGAGGUGAAAUUCGUAGAUAUUCGCAGGAACACCAGUGGCGAAGGCGGCUUACUGGUCCAUAACUGACGCUGAGGUGCGAAAGCGUGGGGAGCAAACAGG
RNAcentral lists this ribosomal RNA (254 nucleotides) under uncultured bacterium. RNAcentral's name for it is "partial 16S ribosomal RNA". It matches the Rfam family "Bacterial small subunit ribosomal RNA", at positions 524 to 776 of the family's 1533-position model. The record is from RNAcentral.